AGAUUGAACGCUGGCGGCAUGCCUUACACAUGCAAGUCGAACGGCAGCGCGGGGCAACCUGGCGGCGAGUGGCGAACGGGUGAGUAAUAUAUCGGAACGUACCCUGGAGUGGGGGAUAACGUAGCGAAAGUUACGCUAAUACCGCAUACGAUCUAAGGAUGAAAGUGGGGGAUUCGCAAGAACCUCAUGCUCCUGGAGCGGCCGAUAUCUGAUUAGCUAGUUGGUGGGGUAAAGGCCUACCAAGGCAUCGAUCAGUAGCUGGUCUGAGAGGACGACCAGCCACACUGGAACUGAGACACGGUCCAGACUCCUACGGGAGGCAGCAGUGGGGAAUUUUGGACAAUGGGCGAAAGCCUGAUCCAGCAAUGCCGCGUGAGUGAAGAAGGCCUUGGGUUGUAAAGCUCUUUUGUCGUAGGAAGAAACGGUAGAAAGACUAAUAUCUUUUGCUAAUGACGGUACCUAGAAGAAUAAGCAACCGGACUAACUACGUGCCAGCAGACCG
This 502-nucleotide ribosomal RNA is filed under the name uncultured soil bacterium. RNAcentral describes it as "bacterial SSU rRNA". It matches the Rfam family "Bacterial small subunit ribosomal RNA", at positions 26 to 517 of the family's 1533-position model. The record is from RNAcentral.